Chenopodium quinoa (quinoa) is the source of this 641-nucleotide long non-coding RNA. RefSeq lists it as uncharacterized. The record is from RefSeq and is a predicted model, not a curated record. NCBI's taxonomy places the organism in Eukaryota, Viridiplantae, Streptophyta, Magnoliopsida, Caryophyllales, Amaranthaceae. The transcript is spliced from 4 exons.
UUUUUUUUCCCUUCAAGAAAGUCACAUGUCUACUUUUAUUUCUGCACUUCUCUUUCUUUAUUUGAUAGCAACUUUGCUUUUUACCUUGAAAUUAGCCACUUUGUUUGUUUUUCUUAUUUUUCCAAAUGUCCUCUUGAUUCUCCCACUCCCUACUUUCAAACGUUCCAAGGAUUCGGAAGCGUUACCGUUGAUGGAGGAUAAGUCUGUUUCACAACUACCAGUUGACAAGGUGUCGACUACCGCGGCGGCAGUAUUUCGAGAUUUUUGGGGUUCUAAUAAAUCCUCUCGCUCCUCCAUUGAUCCGAGGUCAUGUCUUCAAUUCAAGUCUCUUAUUACAUCAGGUCUUGUUCCAGUACAAGGAAAGAUGUUAGCUCAUCGGAUUGAUGGAAUAUGAUAUGGGUCGGUUGUUAAUGAGUCGGCUACGAGCUCCAUCUUGGGUUUAUUGCAUUGGCUCCUUUUGCACAUAUGGUUGUUGGGAACCAUCUUGUAAUUGAAGUUUGGCUGUAAGGAUAGAUUUCUAGACCACACGCAACAACAAUAUUAUACUUUAGAUUUGUAUUGGAUUAUAGAUAUAGACAUCUAGUGUUAUCUACUAAAUUAAUUUUGUUGAUGUUAAUAGUAAUAUAUUAUUCAUUUAUUCA